Oryctolagus cuniculus (rabbit) is the source of this 333-nucleotide non-coding RNA. NCBI's taxonomy places the organism in Eukaryota, Metazoa, Chordata, Mammalia, Lagomorpha, Leporidae. The record is from RefSeq and is a predicted model, not a curated record.
GGACGCUGUGGGAGGAAGCGGCUGCUUAGGGCGAGGGCUGCCCACCAGCUCGCGCCCGCGGCACCCACAGCGUGUCGUUAUCGUUAUCGUUAUCGGCUGCUGGGGCAGGGCAGUCGGCACGCCCACCGCCUUGGCAGUUCUGUAUGGAGAAAAUUAUUCAUGUAUUUGAAAGCGUGACAAGAGAGAUCAAGAUCUUCCAGCUGUGGCGGCUCAAUGUGUUGUACCACAAUACCUACCCCUGCUUUUUCUUUCCUAAUAAUCGAAGCUCCAACUACGCCAGCGCCCAGUAGAGUUAAUUCUUUCAAUCUUUACAUUAAAUCGUCACUGUUUAAA